GCUGGGCGUGGUGGCGGAUGCCUGUAAUCUCAGCUACUCAGGAGGCUGAGGCAGGAGAAUUGCUUGAACCCAGGAGGCAGAAGUUGCAGUGAGCCAAGAUCGCGCCACUGCACUCCAGCCUGGGUGACAGAGCAAGACUCUGUCUCAA
RNAcentral lists this small RNA (148 nucleotides) under Papio anubis (olive baboon). RNAcentral describes it as "Metazoan signal recognition particle RNA (ENSPANG00000043783.1)". Lineage: Eukaryota; Metazoa; Chordata; Mammalia; Primates; Cercopithecidae. The record is from Rfam by way of RNAcentral. RNAcentral also lists the same sequence under 1 other name.